RNAcentral lists this long non-coding RNA (247 nucleotides) under Carica papaya (papaya). RNAcentral's name for it is "long non-coding RNA (CPAP_LNC003710)". Lineage: Eukaryota; Viridiplantae; Streptophyta; Magnoliopsida; Brassicales; Caricaceae. The record is from RNAcentral.
UGGUUCGUACGACAGUGGUUAUAGAUUGUACUAUGGUUUGGCCAGCCGAAAGUAGGCCUGAGAAAAUUACCGUAUUUGUAUAUGAUCUGGUAAUUCCAUUUAGGUAGUUUGAAAACUGUGUCUACCCUCAAAGAUGGAAGUUUGUAACGACUUAGGAAAGCAUGACACGAAAUAUCUGUACAUUUCAUGAUUUAUUUUAUUUUCUCUAUUAUUGGGCAUGAUAUACGUAUAUUUGAUUUUCUAUGCU